AGCGAACGCUGGCGGCAGGCUUAACACAUGCAAGUCGAGCGGGCGUAGCAAUACGUCAGCGGCAGACGGGUGAGUAACGCGUGGGAACGUACCUUUUGGUCGGAACAACCCAGGGAAACUUGGGCUAAUACCGGAUAAGCCCUUACGGGGAAAGAUUUAUCGCCGAAAGAUCGGCCCGCGUCUGAUUAGCUAGUUGGUGAGGUAACGGCUCACCAAGGCUAUGAUCGGUAGCCGGUCUGAGAGGAUGGCCGGCCACACUGGAACUGAGACACGGUCCAGACUCCUACGGGAGGCAGCAGUGGGGAAUCUUGCGCAAUGCGCGAAAGCGUGACGCAGCAACGCCGCGUGA
This 349-nucleotide ribosomal RNA is filed under the name uncultured bacterium. RNAcentral describes it as "bacterial SSU rRNA". It matches the Rfam family "Bacterial small subunit ribosomal RNA", at positions 29 to 404 of the family's 1533-position model. The record is from RNAcentral.